Molecule: ribosomal RNA, 381 nt
Filed under: Triticum aestivum (bread wheat)
Lineage: Eukaryota; Viridiplantae; Streptophyta; Magnoliopsida; Poales; Poaceae
Description: partial small subunit ribosomal RNA
Source: RNAcentral
AUGUUGAUGGCCGCCAGGGUGAAGAUGAAGAAGGGCGCCAGGCACAGCAGGAUGAAGGUCGCCGCGUGCACGUACGCGUUGCCGAACCCCAGACGCCCCGCGUUCCACCCGAACACGCAGCAGCUGCAGAACAGGGACAGGUACGCCAGCGAGAUGUCCUCCCACAGGUCCGCCACCAGCCCGCCGGACCACUCCGGCGAUAACAUACCAUCUUCUUCCGCGCCGACGGCGACGACAACAGCGGCCAUUUCUAGUCCUUGUCGCUGCGGCGGAGAGGGGGAGAAGGAGUACCUCCUCUCCACGGUCUUGUGCUGGAGCCGCUGCCGCGAGCCCGAAGAAGAAGACUCCUGCUCCUCAGCGCGUACUGCGCCAAGCAGUUGA